Molecule: long non-coding RNA, 903 nt
Organism: Thalassophryne amazonica
Lineage: Eukaryota; Metazoa; Chordata; Actinopteri; Batrachoidiformes; Batrachoididae
Exons: 3
Source: RefSeq, a predicted model, not a curated record
GCCAUUGAUUACUUCACAAAGUGGCCAGAAGCCGCCCCCUUGGUGGAUAAAACAGCAACAGCUGUGGCAAAGUUUCUUCAUGGUCUGAUCUGCCGUUAUGGGUGCCCUGAAAUUGAGAUAUCUGACCAAGGUGGAGAAUUUGUAAACCAAGUUCAGGCAGAACUGCACAAGCUAACAGGUGUGGACUAUCGUGUCACAAGUGCAUAUCAUCCACAGGAUAAUGGACUAGUAGAGAGACAAAACCACACAACACAGAACAGCUUGCUGAAACUCCUGGAAGGCUCCGAGGAUGGGUGGGCAGACCUGCUGGAUGGUGUCCUGUUUGCGUACAGAACAGCUGUACAUGCUUCAACAGGUUUUACCCCAUUCUUUCUCCUCUAUGGGCGACAACCAUUUAUAGGUUAAGAUGAAGAACAUGAAAAACACAAACGGCUGGUGGCAAACUACGGGAGCAUUGGAUAGGAUCAUACACCAUGGAGGAAAUCAAGAAAAAGGGUGCUUGUAGACUAAAAAACUUAAGUGGCAAGGUCUUGUCAGGUGCAGCAAAUGCCUCUCAUCUGAAAAGAUAUAGAGAGGCUGCAGCAGAUGAUGUCCAGCUCAGCAACAGAGAGGAGCUGAAAACAACAUGCAGCAGUGUGGAGGUACCUGAUAACCUGGCAUAAGGUACCUGGCAAACAUUGUUGAGCAUUUCCAGCCUGUUCUAUUAACGUGAAUGUGUUUUGAUUUGUAUAUUGUGCAUUUAAAGCAAUAAAUACUGUUUGAACACAUCCAAAUGGCUGAAAUAUGGACCUGUAAAGGACAGCACUACAGGACUGAAAACAUUCUGAAAAUAACAUCUACCUUACAAACACUGAUGACCUUUCCAGCGUGUUGUACUAACGUGAAUGUAUUUUGAUUUGUAUA